RNAcentral lists this long non-coding RNA (422 nucleotides) under Malus domestica (apple). RNAcentral's name for it is "long non-coding RNA (MDOM_LNC019901)". Lineage: Eukaryota; Viridiplantae; Streptophyta; Magnoliopsida; Rosales; Rosaceae. The record is from RNAcentral.
UUCAUUAGAUUACAUUCUCCCAAUCACAUAUUCCUUGGACUUUAUCGUUUAAGCAUAUAACAUUUAUAUGAAACGGCUCAAACAAUAAUGUAUGCCCUUUAUAUGUAAAACUAGAUUAGUUUAACAUGUGAAAUGUUCGUAAAGUAUCAUCACAUGAUUGGCUUUAGGGCACAUUUCCAACAAUCUCCCAUUUGCACUAGAGCCAAUCAGCUUGGUCAUCUUGAUGAUACCUCUUUUGUAGUCAUUUCAUAAAUGGCUGAAUAGUAGGCCUAGGCAGUGGAUAUCUAUAUGUGUUAUCCACAGAAGCAACCUUGAGAAUAACGACGUCACCAUUAUACAUGAUUCUUAAUCAUGUGGUUCAGUCUCUCAUUUGUGUUCGGAUCUUGAUGAGACCUUGAUUCCCAGGCUUGAGCUAUCGCCCU